RNAcentral lists this ribosomal RNA (446 nucleotides) under uncultured bacterium. Its description in RNAcentral is "bacterial SSU rRNA". It matches the Rfam family "Bacterial small subunit ribosomal RNA", at positions 329 to 792 of the family's 1533-position model. The record is from RNAcentral.
UCCCAGACUCCUACGGGAGGCAGCAGUGGGGAAUAUUGCACAAUGGGGGGAACCCUGAUGCAGCGACGCCGCGUGGGUGAAGGAGUACUUCGGUACGUAAAGCCCUAUCAGCAGGAAAGAAAAUGACGGUACCUGACUAAGAAGCCCCGGCUAACUACGUGCCAGCAGCCGCGGUAAUACGUAGGGGGCAAGCGUUAUCCGGAUUUACUGGGUGUAAAGGGAGCGUAGACGGCAGUGCAAGUCCGGAGUGAAAGCCCGGGGCUCAACCCUGGGACUGCUCUGGAAACUGUAAAGCUGGAGUACGGGAGGGGCAGGCGGAAUUCCUGGUGUAGCGGUGAAAUGCGUAGAUAUCAGGAGGAACACCAGUGGCGAAGGCGGCUUGCUGGACGAUGACUGACGUUGAGGCUCGAAAGCGUGGGGAGCAAACAGGAUUAGAUACCCGAGUA